RNAcentral lists this ribosomal RNA (254 nucleotides) under uncultured bacterium. RNAcentral's name for it is "partial 16S ribosomal RNA". It matches the Rfam family "Bacterial small subunit ribosomal RNA", at positions 524 to 776 of the family's 1533-position model. The record is from RNAcentral.
UACGGAGGGUGCGAGCGUUGUCCGGAAUCAUUGGGCGUAAAGGGCGCGUAGGUGGCCCGGUCAGUUCGUGGUGAAAGCGCGGGGCUCAACCCUGCGUCGGCCAUGAAUACUGCCGCGGCUGGAGCACUGUAGAGGCAGGCGGAAUUCCGGGUGUAGCGGUGGAAUGCGCAGAUAUCAGGAAGAACACCCGUGGCGAAGGCGGCUUUCUGGGACGGUACUGACGCUGAGACGCGAAAGCGUGGGGAGCGAACAGG